RNAcentral lists this ribosomal RNA (1255 nucleotides) under human metagenome. RNAcentral describes it as "bacterial LSU rRNA". It matches the Rfam family "Bacterial large subunit ribosomal RNA", at positions 1697 to 2925 of the family's 2925-position model. The record is from RNAcentral.
AAUCAUGGUUAAGGAACUCGGCAAAAUGCCCCCGUAACUUCGGGAGAAGGGGGGCCCUGAGCGUGAUCUGCCCGUGCGGUGGGGAGCGUGUAGGGGUCGCAGAGACCAGGGGGAAGCGACUGUUUAUCAAAAACACAGGUCCGUGCGAAGUCGUAAGACGAUGUAUACGGACUGACUCCUGCCCGGUGCUGGAAGGUUAAGAGGAUUGGUUAGCCUUUUUUGGGCGAAGCUGAGAAUUUAAGCCCCAGUAAACGGCGGUGGUAACUAUAACCAUCCUAAGGUAGCGAAAUUCCUUGUCGGGUAAGUUCCGACCUGCACGAAUGGAGUAACGACUUCCCUACUGUCUCAACCAUGAACUCGGCGAAAUUGCAGUACGAGUAAAGAUGCUCGUUUCGCGCAGCAGGACGGAAAGACCCCGUGACCUUUACUAUAGUUUGGUAUUGGUGUUUGGUUUGGCUUGUGUAGGAUAGGUGGGAGACUGUGAAGCAUGGACGCUAGUUUGUGUGGAGUCGUUGUUGAAAUACCACUCUGGUCAAUCUGGAUGUCUAACUUCGGGCCAUGAUCUGGUUCAGGGACAGUGCCUGAUGGGUAGUUUAACUGGGGCGGUUGCCUCCUAAAGUGUAACGGAGGCGCCCAAAGGUUCCCUCAGCCUGGUUGGCAAUCAGGUGUUGAGUGUAAGUGCACAAGGGAGCUUGACUGUGAGACUGGCAGGUCGAGCAGGGACGAAAGUCGGGACUAGUGAUCCGGCGGUACGUUGUGGAACGGCCGUCGCUCAACGGAUAAAAGGUACCUCGGGGAUAACAGGCUGAUCUUGCCCAAGAGUCCAUAUCGACGGCAUGGUUUGGCACCUCGAUGUCGGCUCGUCGCAUCCUGGGGCUGGAGUCGGUCCCAAGGGUUGGGCUGUUCGCCCAUUAAAGCGGUACGCGAGCUGGGUUCAGAACGUCGUGAGACAGUUCGGUCCCUAUCCGCUGCGCGCGUUGGAAAUUUGAGAAAGGCUGUCCUUAGUACGAGAGGACCGGGACGGACGAACCUCUGGUAUGUCAGUUGUACCGCCAGGUGCAUGGCUGAUUGGCUACGUUCGGGAGGGAUAACCGCUGAAAGCAUCUAAGCGGGAAGCCUGUUUCGAGAUGAGAUUUCCUGGCACUUUUGGUGUGUGAGGCUCCUUAUAGAUGAUGAGGUUGAUAGGCCGGGUAUGGAAGCGGGGACUGAAGACUCGUGGAGUUGACUGGUACUAAUAGGCCGAAGGCUUACUUUU